CGCUUCUUGCAAAAACAACGAAUAAGAAGCCUCGCCUGCCCUGUGACUAUAUGUUUAACGGCCGCGGUAUUUUGACCGUGCGAAGGUAGCGCAAUCACUUGUCUCUUAAAUGGGGACCCGUAUGAAUGGCACAACGAGGGCUUAACUGUCUCCUUUCUCAAGUCAAUGAAAUUGACCUCCCCGUGCAGAGGCGGGCAUAAAGACAUAAGACGAGAAGACCCUAUGGAGCUUCAGACAUAAAACAGCUCAUGUCAAUCACCUUAAAACAAAAAAACAAACUAAAUAAGCCCUGUUCAAAUGUCUUUGGUUGGGGCGACCGCGGGGUAACAAGCAACCCCCAUGUAGAAUAAAAACACCCUUUUUUAAACCAAGAAUAACCACUCUAAUAAACAGAACCUCUGACUAACCAUGAUCCGGCUCAACCGAUCAACGAACCGAGUUACCCUAGGGAUAACAGCGCAAUCCUCUUUUAGAGUCCAUAUCGACAAGAGGGUUUACGACCUCGAUGUUGGAUCAGGACAUCCUAAUGGUGCAGCCGCUAUUAAGGGUUCGUUUGUUCAACGAUUAAAGUCCU
Molecule: ribosomal RNA, 574 nt
Filed under: Chelonodontops patoca (milkspotted puffer)
Lineage: Eukaryota; Metazoa; Chordata; Actinopteri; Tetraodontiformes; Tetraodontidae
Description: partial 16S rRNA
Rfam family: Bacterial large subunit ribosomal RNA
Source: RNAcentral